This 472-nucleotide ribosomal RNA is filed under the name uncultured bacterium. Its description in RNAcentral is "bacterial SSU rRNA". It matches the Rfam family "Bacterial small subunit ribosomal RNA", at positions 355 to 825 of the family's 1533-position model. The record is from RNAcentral.
UGGGGAAUUUUGCGCAAUGGGCGAAAGCCUGACGCAGCAACGCCGCGUGAGUGAAGAAGGCCUUCGGGUUGUAAAGCUCUUUCAGCAGGAACGAAACGGUCGGCUUUAAUAAAGUCGGCUAAUGACGGUACCUGCAGAAGAAGCACCGGCUAACUACGUGCCAGCAGCCGCGGUAAUACGUAGGGUGCGAGCGUUAAUCGGAUUUACUGGGCGUAAAGGGCGCGUAGGCGGCAAUUCAAGUCAUCUGUGAAAUCUCCGGGCUUAACUCGGAACGGCCAGAUGAUACUGCUUUGCUAGAGUGCAGAAGGGGCAAUCGGAAUUCUUGGUGUAGCGGUGAAAUACGUAGAUAUCAAGAGGAACACCUGAGGUGAAGACGGGUUGCUGGGCUGACACUGACGCUGAGGCGCGAAAGCCAGGGGAGCAAACGGGAUUAGAUACACCCGUAGUCCCUGAGCGGGCUGGCAAGGCGCAU